This is a long non-coding RNA of Carya illinoinensis, 1178 nucleotides long. RefSeq lists it as uncharacterized. The record is from RefSeq and is a predicted model, not a curated record. The transcript is spliced from 2 exons. NCBI's taxonomy places the organism in Eukaryota, Viridiplantae, Streptophyta, Magnoliopsida, Fagales, Juglandaceae.
ACUUUUUGUAAAGUAUGUGCGCGCUGGGAUGUGGACACCAUCAUAUGUGAUGAACUAGUUUAUUUAUGUUUAGAGUUCCAUACUUUCUGCAUAUAGCAGUAUGUGAAGUGAACUUAAGUUUUCAUUUUUACAAGUUACUUUUGCAAAGUAUGUGUGCGCUUGGAUGUGGAUACCAUCAUGGUAGAUGAACCAACUUUUUUAUUUUUAUCUCCUAGUAAUUUGAAGUUCCUAUUGAUAUCUGUUAAUGUACCAAAGUACACUUUGCUAAAGCAUUAAACACACCUUUACACUUCACUUCAACCCAAUGUGAAGCACAAUAUGUGUAACUCCUUUUGCACUUGAUUUUUUAGGAUUAAACUCAGCUCCCCUUCGGGUGGAUUAAAAAUAAUAUAAUCUUUUUAAGGAUUAAACCAUCUAACGUUUUGGGUGAUUAAACUCUCUUGUUUUAAAAAAAAAAAAAACUUGUAAACCCCAACAGCAAACAAUGAAUGAAAAACACUAAUAUUUUUUAGCAACAGCAUACUCCAUUGUUGAUUGGGAACAUGUUAUCUGAGGGAGAUAAGGUAUCAUCGUCAGUUUCUUCAUCUUCUAUUGUUAAUCAUACUUUGAGAAUCAACCCAAUUUGCAAUUGUGGGUCACCUGCUUCACUUAGAACAUCGAACACGCCAAGAAAUCCGGGCCGAUCAUUCUUUGGGUGUUCAAAAUACAAUACCAAGGGAUUACCACAUUGCAACUUUUUCAUAUGGGCAGAUAGUGGUAAGGAAAUGGAGAAUGACCUUAUGAAAGUAUUCAUUGAGAUUUUGAUGAAGAAGGAAGAGCUCCAGAAAACACAUGAAGAGUUGCAGAAAACACAUGAAGAGGUUCGCCAAUUAUUGCAACUUUUUUGAAGAAGAGAGGAAGAGGUGCGAACAAUGAUGGAAGAGGUUCGACAUUGUUCGGAAGAGGUUCGCCGUAGAGAUGGCGAAAUUGUCAAGCGGGAGGUGGAAGUCCGGCGUCAACGCACACAUAUUCGUAUAUGUGUGGCAGUUUCUAUUUUACUUUAUUUGUACUUUAUACGAUCGCUUUGAGUAUUAAUAGGCAUUUAGUUGUGUUUUGUAUAAAUUUGUUAGUGCAAGUUCAGAAGUUGGAACUUUUGGGACAACUCUUUUAUGUUGGUAUUUGUAAUUUUUGUGUGGAAA